GAUGAACGCUGGCGGCGUGCUUAACACAUGCAAGUCGAACGGUGAAGCAGGAGCUUGCUCUUGUGGAUCAGUGGCGAACGGGUGAGUAACACGUGAGCAACCUGCCCCUGACUCUGGGAUAAGCGCUGGAAACGGCGUCUAAUACUGGAUAUGUGAUGUGACCGCAUGGUCUGCAUCUGGAAAGAAUUUCGGUUGGGGAUGGGCUCGCGGCCUAUCAGCUUGUUGGUGAGGUAAUGGCUCACCAAGGCGUCGACGGGUAGCCGGCCUGAGAGGGUGACCGGCCACACUGGGACUGAGACACGGCCGAGACGCCUACGGGAGGCAUCAGUGGGGAAUAGUGACCAAUGGGCGGAAGCCUGAUGCAGCAACGCCGCGUGAGGGAUGACGGCCUUCGGGUUGUAAACCUCUUUUAGCAGGGAAGAAGCGAAAGUGACGGUACCUGCAGAAAAAGCACCGGCUAACUACGUGCCAGCCGCCGCAGUAA
This 484-nucleotide ribosomal RNA is filed under the name uncultured bacterium. RNAcentral's name for it is "partial 16S ribosomal RNA". It matches the Rfam family "Bacterial small subunit ribosomal RNA", at positions 28 to 523 of the family's 1533-position model. The record is from RNAcentral.